AAGUCGUAACAAGGUAACCGUUGGUGAACCAGCGGUUGGAUCAUUUCUGUUUUUUCAAAAGAAACAACAAAGUGGGAGAGUUGCACCCUUUUCUUCAUAAAAUCUUAAAAGAUUGUGUGUGUUUUUAAAAAUGACGAAAGAAAAACCAAUUUUUAUUGAAAAAUAAAAAACAAAAUUAAAUUUACAGUUUUAACGGUGGAUCUCUAGGCUCGU
RNAcentral lists this unclassified non-coding RNA (213 nucleotides) under fungal sp. RNAcentral describes it as "partial internal transcribed spacer region". The stretch from base 1 to 46 matches the Rfam family "Eukaryotic small subunit ribosomal RNA", at positions 1786 to 1831 of the family's 1831-position model. Lineage: Eukaryota; Fungi. The record is from RNAcentral.